CUUCCUUAGGUGGUUUUUUUCUCGCAUAUCUCUGAAAAAGAGAGGCCAGCAUCUUCCUUGCUCUCCUCGCUGCCACAUCCCAUCGAUCUCUGCUAUCACUUUCGUCCCCAUCAUCACCGUUGUCAAAUUUCUCCUCUGAUCUCCCUCAGGUGUUUUACCUCCUAAAUCCGGCAAAGAUCCACAGUGGAUCCAUAUUUUUUCCUCUCCUCCGUAAUCUUCAUAUCCACUAC
RNAcentral lists this long non-coding RNA (230 nucleotides) under Elaeis guineensis (African oil palm). RNAcentral's name for it is "long non-coding RNA (EGUI_LNC001879)". Lineage: Eukaryota; Viridiplantae; Streptophyta; Magnoliopsida; Arecales; Arecaceae. The record is from RNAcentral.